Physeter macrocephalus (sperm whale) is the source of this 543-nucleotide long non-coding RNA. RefSeq lists it as uncharacterized. NCBI's taxonomy places the organism in Eukaryota, Metazoa, Chordata, Mammalia, Artiodactyla, Physeteridae. The record is from RefSeq and is a predicted model, not a curated record. The transcript has 3 exons.
CCCAUCUCCAAAAUGGCGGAGGCAGCUUCAACCUCACCUCUCGCGAGGUGUUCGUCCUACUGUCUCUGAUUAGCCCUGAGGUCAGAGGGUUCCCAAGCCUCUGGAAGUCCCGGAGGAAGAGAGGUAAGAACUUCUGCACCGACUCAGAGUGAAAAAGAGGUGGCAGAGCCAAGGGGAAGUCUCGGGCAAGGUCCUUGGCAGAAGAACCCUCCUGCCCUGGGAAGGAGGAGUAAUAAAUGAAACCACCAAAACGCGAUGAAAAUGAAUUCAGUGACUUCCUCAAGUACGCGGGCCUCUCACUGUUGUGGCCUCUCCCGUUGUGAGCGCAGGCUCCGGAUGCACAGGCUCAGCGGCCAUGGCUCACAGGCCCAGCCGCUCCGCGGCAUGAGGGAUCUUCCCGGACCGGGGCACGAACCCGUGUCCCCUGCAUCGGCAGGCGGACUCUCAACCACUGCGCCAUCAGGGAAGCCCUAUCAUCUCAAUUUCUUAUGCAAGGGGAGUGAUAACAUCUACUCCUCAUACAAAUGCACAGAUUUAUAUCAC